CCCUUAGAUGUUCUGGGCCGCACGCGUGCUACACUGAGUGGAUCAGCGGGUCAGGUUGCGCGAAAGCGUUUCCUAAUCUUUAAAUCCGCUCGUGAUGGGGAUUGACGGUUGCAAUUUUCUGUCAUGAACGAGGAAUACCUUGUAAGCGCGGGUCAUCAUCCCGCGCUGAAUACGUCCCUGCCAUUUGUACACACCGCCCGUCGCUCCUACCGAUUGAGUGGUCCGGUGAGGCUUUGGGAUCUGAGCGGAAAGAGCGUUUCGCUGUUUCUGCUCGGAAAACUCAGUCGAACCUUAUCAUUUAGAGGAAGGAGAAGUCGUAACA
RNAcentral lists this ribosomal RNA (322 nucleotides) under uncultured eukaryote. RNAcentral's name for it is "partial 18S ribosomal RNA". It matches the Rfam family "Eukaryotic small subunit ribosomal RNA", at positions 1470 to 1796 of the family's 1831-position model. The record is from RNAcentral.